GAUGAACGCUGGCGGCGUGCCUAAUACAUGCAAGUCGAGCGAACAGAUGAGGAGCUUGCUCCUCUGACGUUAGCGGCGGACGGGUGAGUAACACGUGGAUAACCUACCUAUAAGACUGGGAUAACUUCGGGAAACCGGAGCUAAUACCGGAUAAUAUAUUGAACCGCAUGGUUCAAUAGUGAAAGACGGUUUUGCUGUCACUUAUAGAUGGAUCCGCGCCGCAUUAGCUAGUUGGUAAGGUAACGGCUUACCAAGGCAACGAUGCGUAGCCGACCUGAGAGGGUGAUCAGCCACACUGGAACUGAGACACGGUCCAGACUACUACGAGAGGCAGCAGUAGGGAAUCUUCCACAAUGGUCGAAAGCCUGACGGAGCAACGCCGCGUGAGUGAUGAAGGUCUUCGGAUCGUAAAACUCUGUUAUUAGGGAAGAACAAAUGUGUAUGAAACUAUGCACGUCUGGACGGUACCUAAGCAAAAAGCCACGGCUAACUACGUG
Molecule: ribosomal RNA, 497 nt
Filed under: uncultured bacterium
Lineage: Bacteria
Description: partial 16S ribosomal RNA
Rfam family: Bacterial small subunit ribosomal RNA
Source: RNAcentral